Molecule: long non-coding RNA, 2104 nt
Organism: Apis cerana (Asiatic honeybee)
Lineage: Eukaryota; Metazoa; Arthropoda; Insecta; Hymenoptera; Apidae
Source: RefSeq, a predicted model, not a curated record
AUAAGUAAGUUAAAUUAAAAUUAAAAACAUUGCUUUUUAAUAUUUUAUUUUAUCUUAUUUUUAUUCCAUUCUGCAUUUUCAUUAUCAUAUUAAUUAAUAUAAAGUAUUAUUUUUAUGAGAAAACAAUUUAUAUAUUAUAUUAACUUUAAAAACGUACGAUUAAUAGACCAGUGAUUCUUUUGUUUAAUUUUUUAAAAUAAUUUUUUGCUGUCAUGGACAUCUAAGAUUUAAUUUAAAAUUUAUUAAUUCGUUUAUUGGAAUAAUAAUUACAUGUAUAAGGAUUUCCACAAAAUCCUUAAUCUCAUAAAAAUUGGAGAAGCAUGAAAUAAAUUAAAUUUUUUCUUGACAAAAAAACAAUAAUAGAAAUAGGUUAACAACUGUGUAAUUUUUUUAAAAAACGAUUUGAGAAUUUGUCUUUGAUUGAACAAAUUUUAAAUUUAAUUCCAUUUUUAUUUUUUAUUUCAUAUUUUUAUAAAAGUGAAAAACAAGCGACACAAAAUAAGAAUACAUAACAUUUAGAAUUUCUAUAAAAUCUUAAUAAUAUUUUUGUAUACAUAUAUAUAACUACUUAUAUAUAUAUUUUUACAUUUUACAUUUUACAUUUUUUAUAUUUAUUUAUUAUAUUAUAUUUUUAUUACAUUUUCAAAAAAACGAUUUUUAAAUAAAUAAAUAAUGAAACUUUAUUAAAAGUAUUUUUUUUUAUAAGAUAAUAUUUAGAUAAUUUUUAUUUAAAAAUCUUAGAAAUUUCUAUGAAAAAUGAAAAAGCUUAUCGGAAAAUGCCAUCGAGGAUGAAUUUUUUAGAUCAUUUUGGCCAUAGAAUGAAAAGUAAAGUUUUAUUCGUGUCAAGAUAAUUAGAUUGGCUUCGAAAUAACUGAUGAAAUUAAAAUUAAAAAAACUGUUAAGCAGAAUUAUGGAAAAUCAUGAUUCUAGAUGCAAAGAUAUCAAAUACAGAAAAAUUCAAUUGUCAAUCAAUGUGCGAUAGUUGGAGAAAAUUCUUUUUGAUUUGAUUGAAGAAUUUUAAUGUUUUUUAAAUAGCAAAAAACUAUUAUGACUAAUUUUAUGUCAUAUCUUUAUCUUUGUAAUCAGUUUUUCUACAUUAAUAUAAAAUGUAAUCGUGUGUAAGAAUUUAGGUUAGACACGUUUUAAGAUUUUUCUUUCCUUUGUCAGAAUUAAUUUUUUUUUGUCAAAAAUUAAUAAGUAAAAAUCUUGUAUUAGAUUGUAUAUUUUUGUAUUUUUUGUUGAAAUUAGAUUUUGUUCUAUUUUUCUUUUAUAGUUUUGUGAAGUUCUGAUAUCAAAACUAUUAUAUCAAAUAGUGCUAGAAUCAUUGCUUCUUUCGUUACAGCAUCUAUGUUUCUUUUUCCUUGAUAUAAAGGAAUUCAAAUGAUAUUUAUAUUGCUGUUAUUUUCAUUGUUUAAUUCUGUAUAUGUAUAUGUCUCCUAUAUUUUUAUUGUGAUUUCAUAAUUGUUGAUUGAAUUUCUAUUAUAAUCAUGAAGUUUGAAUAUUUUUAAUAUUUUUAAAACUAUCAGUGUCAAUAUUUUUAAAAUUAUCAAUGCUGACAUAUUUCAAUCUAAUAUUAUCUCUGCAAUGAAUAUGGAUAUUGUUUUGUUAUGUUAUUGUCAAAGGUAAUAUUGUAUCAUAUUCUUAAGCUGAAUUAAAUGCGUCUGUAUAGAAAUGCUCAGAAUUGAUUAAUUAUUUUUAAUUAUUUUUUCAUUCUAGGAAUUUGAUUAUGUAUAUUGUCCUAUCUACUUGAUUUUUUGAUAAAUCAUCUAGGUAUGUUUUAAUCAACCAGAGAAUUAUUUUCUUUGAUUCGUAUUCAAUAAUUGUAAUUCAUUUAAUAAUAAUAAGGAGCUUUAAAAGGUAACAUAGAUUUUUUAGAAUAAAUUUCUUUGAAUUUAUUAGAGAAUAUUAUAUUAUUGAAAUUUGCAAAAAUGGAAAAUAUUUUUAAAAUGUAUUUGAAGGUUAAGUAUUUAUACCUGUAGCUAUUCUCAAUAUCGUAUUGAAUCAAUUAUUUUUAUAAUACUUUGCUAAGCUAUAAAUAGUUGAAUCAUAACUGAUUUUUUGUAUCCUAUAUAUUACAUGCAAUAAAAUUUUUUUUCAAUUAUUA